Molecule: unclassified non-coding RNA, 7598 nt
Filed under: Mizuhopecten yessoensis (Yesso scallop)
Lineage: Eukaryota; Metazoa; Mollusca; Bivalvia; Pectinida; Pectinidae
Description: receptor expression-enhancing protein 1-like, transcript variant X4
Source: RNAcentral
UUUACACAGAAGACAUUUCUACUAGACCUAGGAUUGAUUUCGAAUUUUUACCUAUCGUGAUGUUUUAUUUCAACGUUUAUUCAUAGAUAUUACUCAACAAGGAACGAUGGUGUCGGCCAUUUUAUCAAGAAUUGUCAUAUUGGUGUGUGGGACACUGUAUCCAGCAUACGCUUCCUACAAGGCAAUCCGCACAAAAAACGUAAAGGAAUAUGUAAAAUGGAUGAUGUACUGGAUUGUAUUUGCCAUUUUCUUGUCUGUGGAAACGUUUUCUGACGUUCUUUUAUCAUGGCUGCCAUUUUAUUACGAGAUAAAGAUGAUAUUUGUGAUAUGGAUGUUGUCUCCAAUUACCAAAGGAUCCAGCUAUCUUUACAAGAAGUUUGUGCAUCCACACUUAGUGAAGAGAGAAAAGGAAAUAGAUGAAUACAUAUCCCAGGCAACAAAGCAGGGUUAUUCUACCUUACUGAACCUGGGUCAACGAGGCAUUUCCUACGCUACCAAUGUGGUGGUGAAAACUGCUAUAAAGGGUCAGUCUAGCCUUGUAGAUCAUGUACGUAAGAGUUAUAGCACCAAUGACCUGAGGGUCCCAGACGACUCUCAGAACAACGCCGGGGGAGCGUUAAUGGACAGCGAAGACGAAUUUGAAAUACAGGCUGAGAACAUUAAUGAUGAGCGACUUUCUGAAGACAACAGAGAGAUAGAGAGAAGGAAAGACAAGAGAAAAUUACACAGAAGCUCUAGUGAUGUCACAGAUAGCCGGUCUGUAAGGCCACAAAAAACUCCAGGUCUUUCCAAAUUGGAGGAAGAGGACGAAGACCAAUCCUCAUAUUCAGAAGAAGUGUAUUACACACAAAGCUACUAUAGCCCAAAGGAUGGUUCUCCUAAGGACAGGAAGAGAAAAAAACAGUCAGAUCAGAAUUUGCUGAAGACACAGAGAAGAUUAUCUGAAUGACCUUUGUAUAGUCACCAUAUGUAAAUCUGAACAUAGCACUGAUGUUUAUAAAAAAUCAACCAGCUUUAUAAGUGUGUUACUAUACACUGACAUGCUUUAUAAGUGUGUCACUAUACACUGACAUGCUUUAUAAGUGUGUCACUAUAUGCUGACAAGCUAUAUAAGUGUGUCACUAUACACUGACAUGCUUUAUAAGUGUGUCACUAUACACUGACACGCUUUAUAAGUGUGUCACUAUACACUGACAAGCUUUAUAAGUGUGUCACUAUACAGUGACAUGCUUUAUAAGUGUGUCACUAUACACUGACAAGCUUUAUAAGAGUGUCACUAUACACUCACAAGCUAUAUAAGUGUGUCACUAUACACUGACAUGCUAUAUAAGUGUGUCACUAUACACUGACAAGCUUUAUAAGCGUGUCACUAUACACUGACAUGCUUUAUAAGUGUCUCACUAUACACUGACAAGCUUUAUAAGUGUGUCACUAUACAGUGACAUGCUUUAUAAGUGUGUCACUAUACACUGACACGCUUUAUAAGUGUGUCACUAUACACUGACAAGCUUUAUAAGCGUGUCACUAUACACUGACAUGCUUUAUAAGUGUUUCACUAUACACUGACAAGCUAUAUAAGUGUGUCACUAUACACUGACAUGCUAUAUAAGUGUGUCACUAUACACUGACAUGCUAUAUAACUGUGUCACUAUACACUGACAUGCUUUAUAAGUGUCUCACUAUACACUGACAAGCUUUAUAAGUGUGUCACUAUACACUGACAAGCUUUAUAAGCGUGUCACUAUACACUGACAUGCUUUAUAAGUGUCUCACUAUACACUGACAAGCUUUAUAAGUGUGUCACUAUACACUGACAAACUAUAUAAGUGUGUCACUAUACACUGACAAGCUGUAUAAGUGUGUCACUAUUCACUGACAAGCUAUAUAAGUGUGUCACUAUACACUGACAAGCUAUUUAUGAUUGUCAAUAUAUACUGACAAGUUAUAUAAAUGAUGUCACUUUAUACAGAGCUGUGUUCUAUUUUGUGCUAUUAUUAUGUUGCUUAAAAGGAUAUGAAUGGUGUACACAGAAUGCAAUCGAUUAACUAAGUAAUGUGAACAAACUUUCCUUUCUUUAAGUUGGUUACUUACCUAUCAAACAACCAUGGCAAUAUAUUUUGAUCACAAAACCCUUCACUUCAAAUGUACGAAAUCAUUUUGCAAUUCCUGUUAAAUGUCCAGGAUGUGAUUAUCUCCCUUGGAAUCGUAUGAUGCUUCCUAUUUACAACUGUAGGUAAAUGGCAAGAUCUUAAUGAAUGUGAGCUUUUAUUAUUUUUAAAGUUCAUGAUUGCUUAAAAUUUGGUUGAAAGGUUAUGGUUGAUCUCUGUUUGUAUGUGUUAUUUUUAAACCGCUCUCGGCAGGAGCCGGGCGGCUUAUUGAUAUUUUUCUGAUUUUUUUUGUCAUAACUUUUCAAUGAAUACUUUGUUGAACACUUUUCUCUGUACAAUAUGAAGUGUUACUUGACUGUUAUGCUGGUUCAUCAUAGUUUGUAGAUAAGUGAGAUAAUCCUAUUCAUAUUUUUACAAUGCAUUACAAGGGUUGAAUGUUUUGAUGGGACUUUAGAAGAACCUUGUGAAGUCUUUUUACAGGUUUGACCUGCCAAAAUUGUACAUAACCUAUGAUUUAGCUUGUUAUAUGCAAAGCAUUAUUUAUGUGAAUAUGUUGAGAUUUUUACCUGCUCUGCUAGAAACAUAUGUACAGUGUAUAGAAAUAAUCAUAAAAAGGUCAUAAAUGAGUUUUGCAUAAGAUAUACCAGUGUUAAUGAUACAGACCUUUGUUCUAAUUACAUAUCGAGAUGAUUUCACUCUAUUUUCUAUGUAUAGAUGUUUGUAAAUCUUACUAGGUUGUAAACCUUUUUUUAUUAAUUUUUGCCCUGAGAGCUUACUGAUGUGCUGAUUAUUUUAAUUGUGAUAGCUUUAACAUCAUUGAAUCUCAUGCAUCAUUGCAUGUAAGGUAACAUGUACCAGCAACCUGAACUAUCUUAUUACCAUUGUCACUGUUGUGAAAAAUUGUUUCAAGUCCAAUUUGAAAAAGAGUAUUCCGUAAAAAUCACAGGUUGCAAAACAUUUCACAGAAUUAUGGUUGUACAUAAUUUGAAUGUUUGAGAGCGGAAAUAAAAAGGAAACAAAUAGAAACUGUAAGGGUUAACUCUAAACCUUUAAAAUGAAAAACCCUGGGCAUAACCAAUGCUGUCGCCCAGGAAUUAUAAAUGUAGGUCAUCAAAAAGAGUAAAGCCAAAACAAUUUCUUUUGGCUGCUUCAUCUUCCAUAUAAAAGGGAGAAUACUCCACGUAAAAAAUAAUUUAGUUGAACUCUUGGCAAUAAUACCUGUUGCAGUGGUACUCUUUACCUUAAAUGGACUUGUUCUGUAACUUAUACAAUCUAGGACUGAGUAAGUGACUCAUCUUUUGAAUGAGAGUGUGGAUAGGUGCUAAUAUUGUUGUAUAUUUAUUAUUUUUAUUUUGCACUGUUGUGGGUCCAUUUACUAUGCGAUCAUUUGAUCUCAAAUCUAACUCCCCAACACAGGAUAAAAUUUGAAAAUAAGUUUGUAUCAACUUAAGCUAAUAAGUUAAACUUAAUGGUCUCACUAGCAUCCUAGUCAAUAUUGUCAUCUUGUGUAUCUAAAAUAAAAAUAAAACAAACCUGGAAAUCUAAAAUACAUUCAUCCAUGUAAUACUUUUUUGGUGUAGGGAAUAAUUGUAUAUCAGUUAAAAAUAGUCUAUAUACACAAUCUAUAUACACAACAAAGCAAAGAUUCUGCUUGUUCAAUUAAACUAGUGAUAUGAUUAAAGUUUAAUAACAAAGUUUAUUUUGUUCCAAUCAUCUUACCAUCAUUAAACGCAUAAUUGAUCUUAAAUUUGGAAUAUCAAGCAUUAAUAACAGCAAUGAAAGCAUCGCGCUUGCUAUAUAUAUUGCACAUGAUUCAUUUUAAAGGUCACAAAUAAUCACUUCUUUUGCCUGAUAUUUUUAAUUAUUUGCUCAAAAUUCCAUUAUAUUUUGUUAUGCUCCCUUUAUAUCACCUUUAUACAUAUGAACACCUUUUAUAAUCACUUUAGCACGAGGGAUGGGCUCUGUUUUUCUUCAAGUUUAUAAUCCUUUCACAAAUAUGCUUAUUCCACCAUAAACCAUAUGAAGAUAAUUAAAAUCUUUUAUCAGGAUGAUGAAAUGCUACAUCAUAAUAAAAAAUAAAUGUUUCAAUAACAAGUAUUUAUAGCUUUAAUAUCUAGCAUGUGAUUUUUCAUUAUACUUGAAUAAUUUUCCCCCAUGACACAUUUUUUUUGUUAUAGUUUCCUUAUCACGAAACACAUUCCAGUAGUUUCAGACUCUGUGUCCUAAUAUGGUCAUACCUUAUCACCAGUAAUUACUUGUGAUGACUCCGUGUCCUAAUACAGUCAUACCUUAUCACCAGUAACUACUUGUGAUAACUCUGUGUCCCAAUACGGUCAUACCUUAUCACCAGUCACUACUUGUGAUGACUUUGUGUCCUAAUACGGUCAUACCUUAUCACCAGUAACUACUUGUGAUGACUCCGUGUCCUAAUAGUCAUACCUUAUCACCAGUCACUACUUGUGAUAACUCUGUGUCCUAAUACGGUCAUACCUUAUCACCAGUAACUACUUGUAUUUUCAUCACUAACUGAAUCUCAGGACAUGAUUUUGUUGUCAUGCUUUUGAUGACAUUCUGUUUAAAAAAAAAAUGGAAAUUUAAAUAUCUGUGUUAUGCUUUUGGUGGUGUAAUAGAAGUGUCUGUUGUUUUUCCUUUAUGCUGAUAUUUGCCGAUCAAUGUUGAUGUUCUGUUCCUGUGAAGCUUGUUUGUUACUAAACCAUAAUGUUUUCUUUUAUAGAAAUGGAAUAAUCUCCAUGCUCUAACAUUGUUAAUAUGAAGAAAGCAGAAAACGUGUCACCAGAGGUACAGUUUGAUAUUAUAUUGACUGGAAGUUAAUCCUGCUUAGAAAGGUCAGGCAAGCAUGAGUGGUGUAAUGGGAUUGAGAUGGAAGCAGGAAUGUGAUUUACGAGAGUGUUCGUUGUGUUACACUGUGCCUGUCUUAGUCCAUGCUAAUUACUGGUAGAGAGAGAAAUAUGUUGUCUAUUUCAGUUGACACACCAGGGUUUUACCUGUACCACCUAAGGGUUGGUUGUUACCUGUGUUACUAGCUGGUGAUGCUGAUUAGAGUUAUAAUUUAUGAAAACUUUGUAGUAACAAUGACAGUAGAUUGUUAGUAUGUGAGUCAACUGAUACAAGUCUAGCUCAUGGAGUGCUAAUGUAUGGUGUAAUGGCAAUCUAUACCAUUACCAAGGCUACACUGAAACCUAUUAUCAGCUAUCUUCCUCUUGUCUGACAAAGUUGUGGGAUAUUUUGCAAAUAAAUUGGAAAACAUUAUUUCAAGUUAUAGAACCAGGUGUUGUGUAAACAAAUAGCAUUGGUGAAGAACUUUUGAAGUUUGUUGCCGAUAUAAAGAUGAGCUGAGAUAGUUUAUUUUUUGUAUGGGAUGUUGCAUAAUGAAAAAGAAAAUUGGUCUUUCAUUGCCAUUAUUAGCCAUUGCUGUGUCUUCCAUCUUGCAUAUUAAGUAAAAGGAAUGAUGCAUAGCGUAGUUUGUAGUGAACUGUUCCUACAGGUUAGACAGUCACCUUCACACUUAUCUGUAAUCUUGUAACAAGAGUAACUUCCCUUUGAACUGUUUCCAUACAAAUGUUGUCGUUGCUGUCAAUGUUUUUUGGUCCCUAUUUGUCUUUCCAUGUUGAAAAUUAUGUAUUGAUUUUGAGAAAUAAUUAGCUAAUCAGAAAUUUUUAUUCAUCAUUCAAUUAGGUAUUGAUGAUAAUUACAGGUGUUGACCUUUGAGCUAUAUUCAGUGAACGUUGUUAUUGGCCUUGAUUAAAAUCAUUAUUAAUUGUUGAAGUUUUACAAAAUUUAAUUGAAAUGCUGUUAGUGUAUUUAUUUGGGCGCUAUUGAUAUUUUUACAGCUUCCUUUGACAAUUGUACAGAGAUACUUUUUCGUAAUACCAUUCAAUAGGAAAGUGUUGAAGGCCCUUAAAUAUCAAUGCCUUGAUAUAAAUACGCCUACCGUACCUGUUUUAUACAGGAAAAGUAGUUAACCUAUGUUAGUAUACUUGUAACUUGUUAUAGAACUGAACCAUUGUUAUAACAUAGUCAAUUGUUAUACUCUCACAUUAAAUAGUCACUGGAGUCCAAAGGAGUUCAGAAAGAAUAAUAUUCCAAAAUAUGUAGACACUCACUAUUCAUGAAUAUACUGUAUUUUUGUGUACUCAUACUCGGAUUUUUACAGGGUAGUUUCCGGUGGUAUAUCCGAGGCCAGCAUACAUAACACACACACAGGAUAAUUGAAAAUCAGCUGAGCAGGUUUUAUUUUGAACGUCAGUUUUGUAAUAUUGCUUACAAUAGCUUAAGGUAGCCAGAAUAUAGACAUCCGUGAUCUUAGUAAAAACCAUUCUACAUAUCAUUUGAUGGUUUUAUAACUACAUUCUAGUUACAGCUAAUUAAUAUAUAAUUGAUAUUUCAAUAGUAAACAUUGGAUUUAGAGCUUGUUCAAUUGCAAUAUUUGUCAUAACAAAUUUGGUUUGAAUGGAUUGUUUUACAAGAUUUUUCUGAAAGGUAUGUUUGCUACAAGAUGAGAAGAAUGUUUGCCACACAUUACAUUAAAAACAAUGCACUCAGAUUAAUGUAAUUUUGUUGUGAGCAAGCCAUGUUAGCAUAACCUUUGACCUGUGUUGUGACUUAAAGUUGACCUUUAAACUUUGUGAUAUGUACAUAUUGGAGGACUUGUAUGAUCAAGUGCCUGUUUUAAUGACCUAGUGUUAAAGAAGGCUAUGUAACAACCACUAUUGUAACCCCACUCACUAGUGUAACCGGGUACAGAAGGCUAUGUUACAACCACUAGUGUAAUCCCACUCACUAGUGUAACCGGGUACAGAAGGCUAUGUAACAACCACUAUUGUAACCCCGCUCACUAGUGUAACCGGGUACAGAAGGCUAUGUAACAACCACUAUUGUAACCCCGCUCACUAGUGUAACCGGGUACAGAAGGCUAUGUAACAACCACUAUUGUAACCCCACUCACUAGUGUAACCGGGUAUACACUAAUUGGUAGUUCUGCAAAUUACAAUGGUCAGAAUCAACAAUGCUAACCAGGUUACACCAGAUGUCCAGGUUACAGCAGUGGUUGUAACAAGGCUAGUUACGAGUGUCAGCAAAUCUCUAAAGAGACCUGAAAGUACCUGUUGUGAUAACAUUUUUAACUUGUAUAUAAAACUUAUGAUUAUACAUUCACCCAAACUGAGAACAGGGAUCACAUAACCUAGUGUAAUUCAAUAACCAUUAAACUUGAUACUUUGAUUUUUAUGUAAAACCUAAUUGUUGAGAACUGAACUACUGUGUUACACCGUGUAAUGGUUGCCUAAAGCACUAUUUCCUGCUAUGAUAAUUUCCUGGUAAUGGGUGUUGAUGAAAGACACACACUAUAACUAGCACCAUGCUUUUCAGCGAUAUUUACCCUAUUACAAAUUUUCAAAUGUAUUGUACGGGUGCUUGAGGUAUUCAUUUCUAUAAACAUUAGUGAAAUAAAUGCAACAAUCUUGUUUUAAA